RNAcentral lists this ribosomal RNA (497 nucleotides) under uncultured bacterium. RNAcentral describes it as "partial 16S ribosomal RNA". It matches the Rfam family "Bacterial small subunit ribosomal RNA", at positions 28 to 507 of the family's 1533-position model. The record is from RNAcentral.
GACGAACGCUGGCGGCGUGCCUAAUACAUGCCAGUUGAGCGCUGAAGGUUGGUACUUGUACCGACUGGAUGAGCAGCGAACGGGUGAGUAACGCGUGGGGAAUCUGCCUUUGAGCGGGGGACAACAUUUGGAAACGAAUGCUAAUACCGCAUAAAAACUUUAAACACAAGCUUUAAGUUUGAAAGAUGCAAUUGCAUCACUCAAAGAUGAUCCCGCGUUGUAUUAGCUAGUUGGUGAGGUAAAGGCUCACCAAGGCGAUGAUACAUAGCCGACCUGAGAGGGUGAUCGGCCACAUUGGGACUUGGACACGGCCCAAACUCCUACGGGAGGCAGCAGGAGGGAAUCUUCGGCAAUGGACGAAAGUCUGACCGAGCAACGCCGCGUGAGUGAAGAAGGGUUUCGGAUCGUAAAACUCUGUUGGUAGAGAAGAACGUUGGUGAGAGUGGAAAGCUCAUCAAGUGACGGUAACUACCCAGAAAGGGACGGCUAACUACGUG